This is a long non-coding RNA of Pteropus alecto (black flying fox), 3447 nucleotides long. RefSeq lists it as uncharacterized. The record is from RefSeq and is a predicted model, not a curated record. Lineage: Eukaryota; Metazoa; Chordata; Mammalia; Chiroptera; Pteropodidae. The transcript is spliced from 2 exons.
GCGGGACAUCCGGACGUGGUUCAGGAAGCGGCUCCGGGUUUGACCCGGCGCCUUGGGCUGCUGGAGACGCUUGGUCUCCGCAGGGUGUUUGUGAUGAUGGUGUUGAGAAUCGCAGCCGGCAGUAAUCCCGCCUGCUCUAUGCUCACCUUUCACCCAAGAGGUUUCAUUUAAUUCUUACAGCAGCCCUGGAUGGAGGAACGAUUAUUCUCGCUCUACCGAUGGGAAACUGAGGCACAGACUUGUUUAAUAACUUUGCCCAAUCCAUAGAGCUGCGAGGUGCUAGAUCUCUAUGACUCGGGAGCCCCGUCCCUUAACAGUCACCAAACCUGUGUUUCCCCUCAGGGAAUUGUGUGGCAGAAGGACCCCGAAGGCAGUGGACACUGAGAACGCCCUUGAGACCGCAGGCGUGUGUGAGGGAGUGGGAGGUGGUCAGGGGAGGCUUUGGAGGACGUGAUGUCCAAGCCGAACAUGAGUAGAAGUUGAGCAGGUCGAGAAGGGCAGAGAGAGCAUGCGGGGCAUGUGUGCAGAAGACUUCCCAAAAAGGACAGGUCACGUGGCUUAGAAGAGGACAAGGACGGGCCACGUGUUUUGGCACAGGGUCGUGGCAGAGCUUUCCAAAGACUUGCCAGUCCAGACUUGUGGGCAGCAGGGAGCCACUGAAGAGAUUCAGGCCGAGGGCUGGCGUGGUCCCCCAGCUUUGCGAAGAUCAGUGGGUGUGCUGAGGAGAAGGGCUGGGCCUGGAGGGAGGGCGGUUGAUGGACAGCCCUGGGCGCAGCACUUGUUAGUGUUUGGGUUGUGGAAGCGUGUGGUGUUACAGAUCAUCAGGACUUGCUGAAAGGUGGGACUUGGGAGGUUCAAGGAGUGUCGAGCAGGAGGCCGGUGAGUUGGCUCUGUCCCAGAGCGGACGGGGGACCAUUCCAUGAUGGCAGGGCCCAGGAAGAUGAGCAGGACAGGGAAGAGUGAGUCCAGUGUGGGACAUGGCCUAGGGCUGGCCACAGGGGGGACAGGAAUGUGUUCAGAGUCCCAGAGAGGCCUGAGUUGAAGGGAAGGGAGAUCAUGCUGCAGACACCCCAGCCGGACCUGGAGAGAGAGCUCGGGGGAGAGGAGGGAGACAGCCUCGCCCCGCCCAAACCAGGAGACGGACGUCUGGAGCUCAGGGUCAGCCACUCAUUUUUAUUAAGCUGUAAAUUUAAUCUCACAAUGUUCUCAGUAGAUACAGGUUCUGAGUCAUCUCCGCUGUGCAGGUGGGGAACAGGCUCAGGACAGGGACGGCCCAGAUCACAGUGGGUCCAUGACGUGGCCAAGACCAGAUGCCAGCGCCCCUUCUGCUGCACCCUCCACAAGAAGCGGGCGACUCACAGACGGGCAGACUCAGGGACAUGGGCGGAGAGCAGCAGCACCCUGGACAGUCAUCGCAGUGUGUCUGUGCGCCCGUCCACGUGUGGAAAAGGCUCCUCUCCAGACCGCAGAGGGGAGCAGGGUGGAGGCGUUGGUGCCGUUCAGUCAGGUAAGGUAAGAGAAGGCAGGGCUCUGCCGCUACCUACCCACUCCUCCUAAAGGCAGGCUGGUGAGGGUCAUGUGCAUGAAGCCGUCGUUCCCACAGAAGCCCCCGCUGCUGGUCCGGGCCAGCACCUGCUUGACCACCUGGGAAGAAGCAGCAAUGAGGCUAGGUGGCUGGGCAGCAAGAAGCCAGGUCCCAGGAGCUAUCCCCAGGUCCCAAGGGCUCUGCCCAGCCCCCUCAGCGCCCUGGAAGGGUUCCAGUUCACCAUGGGAGUUGAAGGGGGUCGGGGGACAGGUGGAGGGCAUGGCCGCAUAGCAGCCUGCCACCGAGCUCCGGACUCAGGACGUGCUGCUCUGUGCAGGGUGCUGGGGACAAAGACUCAGGUCCCAGGGGGAGGCGGGUUUGCCUGGGGACAUGGAUAGUGCACGGGAGGUGCCGAGUAGUCAGGGAGGUGUCCCAGAGGAGGGAUGUGACGUGCCUGCCGAGUCUUGGGUCGGGGGGGGGGGGGCGGCAGGAGUCAUUCAGGCAGAUAGAGAAAGAGGGCGCCCCAGGCAGAGCGAAGGGCAGGUGGGGAGGCCCGGGGACGGAAAUGGGGGCAGGCUGUGUGGUACGUAGCACAGGGAGGUCAGACUAGACCACAUGGUCACAUUGGUAUUUUAGACAGGUGAACUUGGUUUUUGCUUGAGUUAAUGCAGGCCCUUUCUCUUCAAUCUUUAGGUUUACCUGAAGAAUAAGAGGAAAAAAGAUUACUAGACACUAAAUAGUCGUUCACGAAAACUUCACUAUAUUAAGUUAGAGCGUGUAGCCUUCAGAUACCGGCUGGGAUGGGGUUCAUUUGAUGGUGGGGAGGGCAAACUGCCAGUCGGUGGGCUCAGAGGUCACCUCAAGACCAGCUGUAGUGACACAGACGACAGAGUGGGGAACAUUAGUGCUUUAGGAGGCGUAUGGGCACGUCACGUGGAGUGCGGCGUGUGUCUCGGGUGUCACUGUGUCCUGGGAUUAGUGCUAGGCAGUCAGAAAAGCUCGAAAGCCUCUCUGCCAGAUGAUCCCUAUUCCAAAACACCUGUGCUGCAUUUUCGAAAGUGAACAUAAUCCACAUAAACCAGGGCUCUUGGAGGAAGAGCUCAUUGUAGGGCUGGGCAGAGAAAAUACAAGAUGAGCUUGAAGCAUCUUGUAGACCCAGCAAAGAAGGAAGUGGUGAAGAGGACGAGAAGACGGGCGGGUCUCGGGCACGCAACAGCUCCCAGGGCCCAAAGUCGGGAAAACCAAGCAAGGACACAGGGCGGCACUGGAUCGUAACCCAGAGAAUAAAGCAGGUGCACACGUGUCCACGCCGACACUGACAAGAGCCACAUCUCCCUUACAGGUUCCAGGUAGCAUGCGUAGAUGUCCCCCUUUGAGCAGGUGGAGAUGAGUGACACCCUCGCCCAUCGAAGGCUACACUUUGGGAAUGGAGUAAGGAAAGGAACAUUGGUCGCUACUCAUGGAGACCAGUGGCAGACACGACCUUGGCCGAGCGGUGAAGGUUAACCUCACCGGUGACGUGUGGAUCUUGCGGAUCCCUCAUAGAGUGGGCAGACCUCAGCCCUUGCCUCUGCUGUGUUCUUCCAUGAGAAAAACAGCAGACCGCUGACAUUGAGGACUUGGGGCAAGAGACCAGGCUGGUACCCCUGAGGCUGAGAGACGGUCACAGGCUGGGGGACCCCUAACAACUAAUGCACCGUGGGACCCUGGCGUGGAUUCUGGGGCAGGAAGGAAAACUGGCGUAAUCUGAAUCAAGUCCAGAGGGCGGUUACCGGCAACGUGCCAAGUUGGUUACUGAGUCAUGACCAGUGUCAGGGCCCUGAAUGGGAGAACUGGGCGUAGCGUAUAUGUUCCCUGGGUUACCGCAGCAACAUUUCUGGAAAUCUAGUUAUUCCCAAAUAAAAAAUAUAUUUGAAAAACAU